This 349-nucleotide unclassified non-coding RNA is filed under the name Basidiomycota sp. RNAcentral describes it as "partial contains small subunit ribosomal RNA, internal transcribed spacer 1, and 5.8S ribosomal RNA". The stretch from base 1 to 47 matches the Rfam family "Eukaryotic small subunit ribosomal RNA", at positions 1785 to 1831 of the family's 1831-position model. The record is from RNAcentral. Lineage: Eukaryota; Fungi; Basidiomycota.
AAAGUCGUAACAAGGUUUCCGUAGGUGAACCUGCGGAAGGAUCAUUAACACGUUAUCCACGUAUCAACCAAAACCGCGAACUAUUCUGUGUGCAAGUUCUGAGUACUUUCGUCACAUUUAACCAUUGGCGAUCCUCGGUUCUUGCAUCGUUGUCUAUUUACCUAAUCACCUUGAUGCCCGUCUGCCUCAUAAAUGCUUCUUCGAAGAAAUUCAUUGAUUCAUAUACUUGAUGGCCAGCCGUACGCAUUGCAUUUUUUCUCUUUCUAUUCUUGUGGAGGACGAACCGUUUACCGGUGAGUUCUCUAACACAAACUCAGUAUAACUCUUAGCAACGGAUAUCUUGGUUUCC